GCAGUCGACGGAGCUAGAGAGCUUGCUUUUUAAGCUUAGUGGCGAACGGGUGAGUAACGCGUGAGUAACCUGCCCUAGAGUGGGGGACAACAGUUGGAAACGACUGCUAAUACCGCAUAAGCCCACGGUACCGCAUGGUGCUGAGGGAAAAGGAUUUAUUCGCUUUAGGAUGGACUCGCGUCCAAUUAGCUAGUUGGUGAGGUAACGGCCCACCAAGGCGACGAUUGGUAGCCGGACUGAGAGGUUGAACGGCCACAUUGGGACUGAGACACGGCCCAGACUCCUACGGGAGGCAGCAGUGGGGGAUAUUGCACAAUGGGGGAAACCCUGAUGCAGCGACGCCGCGUGGAGGAAGAAGGUUUUCGGAUUGUAAACUCCUGUCGUUAGGGACGAUAAUGACGGUACCUAACAAGAAAGCACCGGCUAACUACGUGCCAGCAGCCGCGGUAAAACGUAGGGUGCAAGCGUUGUCCGGAAUUACUGGGUGUAAAGGGAGCGCAGGCGGGAAGACAAGUUGGAAGUGAAAACCAUGGGCUCAACCCAUGAAUUGCUUUCAAAACUGUUUUUCUUGAGUAGUGCAGAGGUAGAUGGAAUUCCCGGUGUAGCGGUGGAAUGCGUAGAUAUCGGGAGGAACACCAGUGGCGAAGGCGGUCUACUGGGCACCAACUGACGCUGAGGCUCGAAAGCAUGGGUAGCAAACAGGAUUAGAUACCCUGGUAGUCCAUGCCGUAAACGAUGAUUACUAGGUGUUGGGGGAUUGACCCCCUCAGUGCCGCAGUUAACACAAUAAGUAA
This 794-nucleotide ribosomal RNA is filed under the name uncultured bacterium. RNAcentral describes it as "bacterial SSU rRNA". It matches the Rfam family "Bacterial small subunit ribosomal RNA", at positions 57 to 867 of the family's 1533-position model. The record is from RNAcentral.